This 389-nucleotide ribosomal RNA is filed under the name Bacillus mycoides. RNAcentral's name for it is "bacterial SSU rRNA". It matches the Rfam family "Bacterial small subunit ribosomal RNA", at positions 1040 to 1430 of the family's 1533-position model. The record is from RNAcentral. Lineage: Bacteria; Bacillati; Bacillota; Bacilli; Caryophanales; Bacillaceae.
GGUGCAUGGUUAUCGUCCGCUCGUUUCGUGAGAUGUUGGGUUAAGUCCCGCAACGAGCCCAACCCUUGAUUUUAGUUGCCAUCAUUAAGUUGGGCACUCUAAGGUGACUCCCGGUGACAAACCGGAGGAAGGUGGGGAUGACGUCAAAUCAUCAUGCCCCUUAUGACCUGGGCUACACACGUGCUACAAUGGACGGUACAAAGAGCUGCAAGACCGCGAGGUGGAGCUAAUCUCAUAAAACCGUUCUCAGUUCGGAUUGUAGGCUGCAACUCGCCUACAUGAAGCUGGAAUCGCUAGUAAUCGCGGAUCAGCAUGCCGCGGUGAAUACGUUCCCGGGCCUUGUACACACCGCCCGUCACACCACGAGAGUUUGUAACACCCGAAGUCGG